UACGUAGGGUGCGAGCGUUGUUCGGAAUUACUGGGCGUAAAGGGCGCGUAGGCGGCACAGCAAGUCGGGAGUGAAAGCCCGGGGCUCAACCCCGGAAUGGCUUUCGAAACUGCUGAGCUAGAGUACAGAAGGGGCAACCGGAAUUCCCAGUGUAGCGGUGAAAUGCGUAGAUAUUGGGAAGAACACCUGAGGCGAAGGCGGGUUGCUGGGCUGAUACUGACGCUGAGGCGCGAAAGCCAGGGGAGCAAACGGG
This 253-nucleotide ribosomal RNA is filed under the name uncultured bacterium. RNAcentral describes it as "partial 16S ribosomal RNA". It matches the Rfam family "Bacterial small subunit ribosomal RNA", at positions 524 to 776 of the family's 1533-position model. The record is from RNAcentral.